This 491-nucleotide ribosomal RNA is filed under the name uncultured bacterium. RNAcentral's name for it is "partial 16S ribosomal RNA". It matches the Rfam family "Bacterial small subunit ribosomal RNA", at positions 29 to 507 of the family's 1533-position model. The record is from RNAcentral.
GUGAACGCUGGCGGUAGGCCUAACACAUGCAAGUCGAACGGCAGCACAGUAAGAGUUUGCUCUUACGGGUGGCGAGUGGCGGACGGGUGAGGAAUACAUCGGAAUCUACUUUUUCGUGGGGGCUAACGUAGGGAAACUUACGCUAAUACCGCAUACGACCUACGGGUGAAAGCAGUGGAUCUUCGGACCUUGCGCGAUUGAAUGAGCCGAUGUCGGAUUAGAUAGUUGGCGGGGUAAAGGCCCACCAAGGCGACGAUCCGUAGCUGGUCUGAGAGGAUGAUCAGCCACACUGGAACGGAGACACGGUCCAGACUCCUGCGGGAGGCAGCAGUGGGGAAUAUUGGACAAUGGGCGCAAGCCUGAUCCAGCCAUACCGCGUGGGUGAAGAAGGCCUUCGGGUUGUAAAGCCCUUUUGUUGGGAAAGAAAAGCAGCAGGUUAAUACCCCGCUGUUCUGACGGUACCCAAAGAAUAAGCACCGGCUAACUUCGUG